This 75-nucleotide transfer RNA is filed under the name Alphaproteobacteria bacterium. RNAcentral describes it as "tRNA-Thr". Lineage: Bacteria; Pseudomonadati; Pseudomonadota; Alphaproteobacteria. The record is from RNAcentral.
GCCACCCGGGGGAUGGUCUAGAGCAUCGCAUUCGUAAUGCGGGGGUCGCGUGUUCGAGUCACGCAGGCGGCACCA